UACGAGGGCUCCAAGCGUUAUCCGGAAUUAUUGGGCGUAAAGCGUCUGUAGGCGGUAGGCAUUGUCGUGGGUUAAAUCUCCCGGCUCAACCGGGAACGUGCUCACGAAACGUGCAUACUAGAGGGUGUAAGAGGCAAGUGGAACUCACGGUGUAGGGGUGAAAUCCGUUGAUAUUGUGGGGAACACCAAAGGCGAAGGCAACUUGCUGGUGCACUCCUGACGCUGAGAGACGAAAGCGUGGGGAUCGAAAAGG
RNAcentral lists this unclassified non-coding RNA (253 nucleotides) under uncultured Parcubacteria group bacterium. RNAcentral describes it as "contains 16S-23S intergenic spacer region". It matches the Rfam family "Bacterial small subunit ribosomal RNA", at positions 524 to 776 of the family's 1533-position model. The record is from RNAcentral.